CGACCUCAGAUGAGACGAGACGACCCGCUGAAUUGAAGUAUAUAAAUAAGCGGAGGAAAAAAAACCAACAGGGACUCCCUUAGUAGCGGCGAGCGAACCGGGAUGAGCCGUCACGGAUGAGCCC
RNAcentral lists this non-coding RNA (124 nucleotides) under Stegodyphus mimosarum. RNAcentral describes it as "Eukaryotic large subunit ribosomal RNA". It matches the Rfam family "Eukaryotic large subunit ribosomal RNA", at positions 1 to 124 of the family's 3401-position model. The record is from Rfam by way of RNAcentral. Lineage: Eukaryota; Metazoa; Arthropoda; Arachnida; Araneae; Eresidae.